UACGUAGGGUGCAAGCGUUAUCCGGAAUUACUGGGCGUAAAGAGCUCGUAGGUGGUUUGUCGCGUUGUUCGUGAAAACUCACAGCUUAACUGUGGGCGUGCGGGCGAUACGGGCAGACUUGAGUACUGCAGGGGAGACUGGAAUUCCUGGUGUAGCGGUGGAAUGCGCAGAUAUCAGGAGGAACACCGGUGGCGAAGGCGGGUCUCUGGGCAGUAACUGACGCUGAGGGGCGAAAGCGUGGGGAGCGAACAGG
This 253-nucleotide ribosomal RNA is filed under the name uncultured bacterium. RNAcentral describes it as "partial 16S ribosomal RNA". It matches the Rfam family "Bacterial small subunit ribosomal RNA", at positions 524 to 776 of the family's 1533-position model. The record is from RNAcentral.